CCUUGAACACUGAGCAGAAGGCUGGGGCUGAGGGAGGCAGAGUAGAGGAGAAGGCAGGCUGGAGGAGAGGCAGGGACAGGGAGAGCCGAGGCCGGGGUAGGAGCUCCGAGGCUGGGGGGUUAGAGGGAUGACGGGCCAGGGGAGGCUCGGGAGAAAAAGUGUGAAGGUGGGAGGGCGGGGUGGGCACGGGCACCGGGCUUAGGUGGGAGAAAGGUGAGGCUGAGGAGAGGCCGUGAUUAAGGUGCCAUAGCUGCAAAGGAAUAGUAGGCUAAAAGAGGGAUAAAGACGCAGGAUAAGGUUGGGAGAAAUGGAGGAGGAGGAGAAGGCCAGGUGGAGAAGAUAAAGUGAUAGGGAAGAAAAACUGAGACUAGGGUGCCAGUGGUUGAACUACACAGAAAUAUAUGAUUGUUCCCACACAGAAAUGGUUAGGAGACAGUUGUUAAGCUGAGGAAGAUGUCUAAAACCAAUUAAGGUACAGGAAUUAAAAGCGGGCUGGAGUUGGCAGGUAGCAAGACAACCAGAGACCAAAAUAUAGCCAGAAAACGAGACAGGAAAUUCCAACUUUAUGAGUGGGGAGUCUGCUUUCCUUUUCCUGCCAUGGAUGUAAUGCUGGUUUGGACAGCGGCUGACGUCCAAUCAGACAACAGGACCGUAGGCCUUGUCAUAAUGACAACCAUGACAUCACUGCAAGGGCUCGCGGAAAGAAGACAGCGGAGCUCCAGACAGACAGCGGGGCUCCACGGGGCUGCACGCCGGGCAAAGUGCGCCGGCUGCCGGAUCAAAACCGCGCGGACUACCGGGCAGGGGGUGUUGGUGGGGGGGAGGGAGCAUGUGGAGGGUGCCGCUUGGACGUUUCACGGCCGGCGUCGGGAGUUGUGUCCCGGACACGUUGAGGCUUCCUGACCGGGGAAAGCGAGUGGAAGAUAUGAAGGAGGUUGAGCGAAAUGGCAUCUUGUUUAAUUUCUGCCAAUCAAGACGAGAGGAAGACAACUCCCAAACUGGCAUGACGUAACAGGAGAGUGAAGACACGAUCAAGAGACCAGGACAAUGCAUGAGCCGGAUGGCAAAUGGGAACUGAGGAGCAGCGGCUGCUGUAAUCUCCACUGUUCAAUUAGCUGCACUGACCGGGACGCCACCUACACUUCAUUAACAGGGAGGGGAAGGUGAUGCUGAUAGUGUAACAUCAAGCCAGUUGGAGUACAAGAGAUGGGGAGUAAAUGAGAGCUUGCUGUCAGUACUGUGAGCCAUUUCCAGGUGAAGCAAACUGAAUUAAAGUGAAUCAACCUGAAGUGGAAUGACCUGAACUGAACUGAAACGAAAGCUUCAGUUGGACAGGACACACAUCGCUAUGAGGUUUUGGGGGGAAAUGUUGAGGCAGAGAAAUACCUUGAAGUAAUACGGAGGAAAACCGUCUGUUAUUUGUGCAUGUUGUUUUUUGGGGGGUUUCCUUGCUAUACUUCCUUUGCUUUGUUUUCAAUAUAUGGAUGUUUAUUUACCAUUACAUUAUGUUUUAUGACAUGAAUUAAGCCUACAUUCUCCAUGACCAUGACACUGUACAAUAAUCGCUUUCUCUUGUGUGCAUAUUGUCUUUGAUUGUCAUACCCACAGUGCAACAUGUGCAUUUGAAAUCUACAGUUAACUCCAUUUAGGGAGUUCAUUAUGGAAUGAAAAUCUCUUGUAACUUUUGUGUAUUAUGAUGGUUCUCACUAAAUUUCACACUUUGCUACAUCUGAACAUGCAAGUUUGUUCCUUAUAAGUUCUGAAAUUGUAUUUAUAUCACAAGCAUUUGAACAUUUAGCAACUAUGAUGGAUAUUUUUAUACUAACAAUGUAUCAAAUGACAAUGUAAAAAACUAUUUGACAGUAUGGAAGCUUGUUGUGAUCAACCUACAAGGAAUUAUAACCUGAAUCUGCAGCUUCCUUGCUACUGCGUUUCGGUUCACUCUCGCUGCUCUCAUAACAUUGUUUUUGAUAACAGCUGCAAAGAAGCUCUAAAAACCCACUGGACACUAUCUAAUCAACACCAAACGGUUAGUGAAUAUAGCUGGGGAACAGAGACGAGCAGCUAAAGAGCCUAUAUCAGGAGUUGGUAGAGACCAAAAACAGAGUUAAUAUUGGACUUGCAUCAACCAGGUGGCCAGAAAAACAACAUCAAAUUAAUGAUAAUGUUGCUCCUAAAAUGCUUGAUGUGUAAAUAAUUAAUUGUUUGCUAACAGUUUUGACAUAUCAUCAUCUUUAAGGUUGAUAUGGCGAUGGUGUGUUCACAGUUGUUUCCAUUCCCCCCAAGUGGCAAAACAAUAAAUCAGUUAUUGCAGGUUAAAAUAAAUAGUUACAGAUAUGUUAGCCUUUGUAACACAGUGGGUUUUCUCUUUCUCAGGCUAAAACAUGUCUCUGGGGCCUUCUGUCCAUAUUUGAGGACUAAUGUGUAUAUUUACUACAGCACUGGAUAGCAAAAAUAACGCACCUUGUCAGUUUGUAUACAUUUUAUUAAGAUGAAAUAAACUAAGGCCUUAUGGGA
This is a long non-coding RNA of Dicentrarchus labrax (European seabass), 2517 nucleotides long. RefSeq lists it as uncharacterized. The record is from RefSeq and is a predicted model, not a curated record. The transcript has 5 exons. NCBI's taxonomy places the organism in Eukaryota, Metazoa, Chordata, Actinopteri, Moronidae.